GACGAACGCUGGCGGCGUGCUUAACACAUGCAAGUCGAACGGAAAGGCCCUGCUUUUGUGGGGUGCUCGAGUGGCGAACGGGUGAGUAACACGUGUGUAACCUGCCCUUGACUUUGGGAUAACUUCAGGAAAAUGGGGAUAAUACCGGAUAGGAGCUCCAGCUGCAUGGUGGGGGUUGGAAAGUUUCGGCGGUUGGGGAAGGAUUGGCGGCUUAUCGGCUUGUUGGUGGGGUUGUGGCUUACCAAGGUUUCGACGGGUAGGCGGCCUGAGCGGGUGAACGGCCACAUUGGGACUGAGGGACGGCCCAGACUCCUACGGGAGGCAGCAGGGGGGAAUAUUGCACAAUGGGCGGAAGCCUGAUGCAGCAACGCCGCGUGCGGGAUGACGGCCUUCGGGUUGUAAACCGCUUUCGCCUGUGACGAAGCGUGAGUGACGGUAAUGGGUAAAGAAGCACCGGCUAACUACGUG
This 468-nucleotide ribosomal RNA is filed under the name uncultured bacterium. RNAcentral describes it as "partial 16S ribosomal RNA". It matches the Rfam family "Bacterial small subunit ribosomal RNA", at positions 28 to 507 of the family's 1533-position model. The record is from RNAcentral.